GAUGAAGAACGUAGUAAAAUGCGAUACUUGGUGUGAAUUGCAGAAUCCCGUGAACCAUCGAGUUUUUGAACGCAAGUUGCGCCCGAAGCCUUUUGGCCGAGGGCACGUCUGCCUGGGCGUCACGCAUCGCGUCGCCCCCCACAAAUUCUCCGUCAGGGGAGCUUGUGUUUCGGGGGCGGAUACUGGUCUCCCGUGCUCAUGGCGCGGUUGGCCGAAAUAGGAGUCCCUUCGAUGGACGCACGAACUAGAGGUGGUCGUAAAAACCCGUCUUUUGUUUCGUGCCGUUAGUCGCGAGGGAAGCUCUUCAAAAACCCCAACGCGUCGUCUCUUGACGGCGCUUCGACCGCGACCCCAGGUCAGGCGGGACUACCCGCUGAGUUUAAGCAUAUCAAUAAGCGGAGGA
RNAcentral lists this unclassified non-coding RNA (403 nucleotides) under soil metagenome. RNAcentral's name for it is "partial contains 5.8S ribosomal RNA, internal transcribed spacer 2, and large subunit ribosomal RNA". The stretch from base 1 to 122 matches the Rfam family "5.8S ribosomal RNA", at positions 35 to 154 of the family's 154-position model. The record is from RNAcentral.